Macaca mulatta (Rhesus monkey) is the source of this 1626-nucleotide long non-coding RNA. The record is from Ensembl. Lineage: Eukaryota; Metazoa; Chordata; Mammalia; Primates; Cercopithecidae.
ACCUGCAUCCGGGAGGAAAGGCAACGUUUUGCGUCUAGAUUUGCUUUGUUUUCUUUCGUCGCCGCUUUUCUUUCACAUUUCCUUGCGCCUCUGGCCCUUGAGCGACAAAAAGGGGAAGCCAAGGCUGGCCCGAGGAAAGGAGAGGGCAUAUGGCCUAGCCACGAGUGGAGCGCCUGCUCCGCCGGAAGGGAUGCGCUGGAGCGGCGUUUUCCUUCCGCCACGGUCUUUCUAUGCCAACUCGUAGGUGAGGGCCGAAAGGCCGUGGGCGGUGGAGCUUGGGCCUGGGAGACUUGUUUCCAGCCUCUUGGGUCCCGCUCCUCCCAAUUCCCUGGAGAGGCGUGUAGCUUCCUGGGAAAUGCCGUCGGGUAAGGGGCGCGGAGCCUCCUGCGGCGAUCCUCUGUCUUCGGGUCGCCUUAGCAGGACGCGGCAAGAAGACACUGACCUGGCCGCAGUCCCGCGCUCUCCCACCAGCUGCUUCGUCCACCAGGAGCUGCGGGGCGUCAGGGAUCCAACGGCCCUGAGGGAUCUAGAGCAGGGGGGCUCGGGGUUCUCCUUUCCAUACCCUCGGAUCCUCUCCCACUCUUUCCACGCCUCGACCCGAAGAUAAUCUCAGGCUCCAGAUAUCUUUCAUAAAUGGAAAGAGCUUUCCUGAUAUGCUUCUACAUACACCUUUAUGCAUUUGCUUGAACAUUUCCCUGAGAACAACCAGAAAUGGAAUUGCCAAAUUACUUUGUGUACAUAUUUCCAAACUGUCCUCCAGAAAGAAUGUAAUGCUUUGAUCUUCCACUUGAGAAUCAAAUGUUUUACCUUCCUCUGUUCCUCCAGAUUUGGACAUUUACAGUGUUCAGCCUUUGUUGUGGCAUUCCAGUUCAACUGGGAAACAGCUUGAUGUAGCGUCCCCAGGUCCACAGUAAUACAUAUUAAACUUUUUUUUUUUUGGUGCAGUGCUGCAAUUUCGUGGCUCACUGCAACCUCCACCUCCCAGGUUCAAGCGAUCCUCCCACCUCAGCCUCCCUAGUAGCUGGGAUUACAGGUGCAUGCCACCACACCAGGCUAAGUUUUAUAUUUUUAGUAGAGAUGGGGUUUUACCAGGUUAGCCAGGCUGGUCUUGAACUCCUGACCUCAAGGGAUCUGCCUGCCUCAGCCUUCUUCCAAAGUGCUGGGAUUACAGGCAGAGACUGGACCUCAGAAGAGGGAGUGGGUGCCCCGAGAACUCACUGCUGGCGGACAGCGGAAAGGGCAGCUGCCGGACCAAGGUGAGGACAACGGAAGUGAAGGCCACUGGCUACCUCUCCUGCCCUCCGCUGGCCGCAUUGGAGAACUGCACCAGGAAGAAGACAGCCCCUCCCUUCCGCUCUGACCUGACAGUGUUCCUCCAUCGCCCUCUAUUGGAGAAGAACAACAUCAAGCUGGCUAGCAAGGAACUGCGUAGAGUCCCGCUGGGUAUCACGCUGGAUCUCACCCAAAGCUGAGAUGUUAUCCAGCUCAGUAUCACAGAGCAGAACGAAAAGGAUGUGUUUGGGCUGAGAGGCCAUACAUUGGUAACUGGCACAUGAACUGUAUUUUCUAUUGAGCAUUGCUGGUAUAUGGCAAGUUUGCAUACAAUUAUAUUGAAAUUGACCACCU